This is a long non-coding RNA of Megalobrama amblycephala (Wuchang bream), 2296 nucleotides long. RefSeq lists it as uncharacterized. The transcript is spliced from 3 exons. Lineage: Eukaryota; Metazoa; Chordata; Actinopteri; Cypriniformes; Xenocyprididae. The record is from RefSeq and is a predicted model, not a curated record.
UCCAGGUCAGAUCAUGAGAUAAAGUUUAUAUUGUCAUCUAUCUUUGUUUUUCAGUCUCUGAAAUCAUGUGAUCAUUUGUGCUUAAACUAGUUUCCUUUAAUGAACAUUGUGUGUGAUUUCAGUACAGCAGAUCCAAAUGGAAAUAUUUCAGGAAGAUCGUGUCAUUUGUGCGUUCUCUCAUGAUCAUUGUGAAAAUACCUUACGCCCCCUGAGAAACAGUUACUGUCCGAAUAGUUUUUAAUAAUUAGUUUAUCAUUGUUAGUUAAUCGUGUCCUCUCAGUGUAGCGAAUGAAGAGCUCUUCAAACCCGUGAAACAUCUGUCAGUCUGUGUGCUGCUCCACAAACCUUCUGCUUCGACUCGCUUUGACCUGCAGAACAAACACACAAACUACUGUCAGUAACUGCUGCCUGUCAAGAUUUCAUCAAACAAUGGAACAAAACAUCAGCUUCAACGGAACAACUGGAGUAUAUAAUGACACUGAAAGGAGGAUUCGUUUUCCAUUAUAUUUACGGAUCAUUUCAGUCAUUGAGAUUCCAGUCAUGAUCUUAACUCUGGUGGCGUUGUGUGCUCUUAUCAAAUCUCAGCGCUCUGCUCCACUUUUUGUUAUUCAUUUGAUUCUUUCAGAUCUCAUUCAGAUCAUUUGUAAGUUAAUGAUAACAAGCGAAUGGAUACGUGAAGUUGCAAUCGUGUACAAAUUGAAAAGUGCAAAUUUGUAUAGUUUGAUGGUUGGUCUGUAUUUCAUGGCUUGUGUUGCUUUUGAACGAUAUCUUCUGGUUUCUCAUCCAAUCUGGUACAAAUCUCAUCAUUCACUAAAAGUCUCCUGUGUUAUUUCUGUGAUCGUCUGGUUUGUUCCUCUGAUCUUUGUAGGCCUAGCCGUCUGUUUGCAGGAUUUUACCGGUCUGCCCCUAUCGAUCGGCUGUUUGAUCCCCUACCUGAUAAUCAUUCUGUGUUUUGUUGGUACUUGUCGCGGUCUUUCACACGCAAUAUCUCUUACUUCUCUAAAGCGACAAUUAAUUUUGGGCAGAUUGUUCCUGGUGCUGCUGACUUACACAUUUCUCAUUCUCCCCUAUGUAAUCACGGGUUUUAUUGAAGAGAUUUUUCCCAAGUUGAAGGACAGUUUAUUAUUUAAAGUUUUAGAUUUUCUUAGUCAACUCAUUUUUCUGAACCCAAUCGCUGACUGUUUGCUGUACUUGUUCAUGAGGCCUGAUGCUGGUGAUUUAAUGAAGUCUGUUUGCUGCUGUUGUAGAACUGACACACAUCAGAAUUCGAGACAGCCGGGACGAACACUUUUGAGACAGUAGAGCCACGUUUGCCUGCUGUGUUUCCGUGCAAAAUCCUGCGUCUCAUUCACAGACCGCCUGCAGUUCAGUUUAAACUGAUGAAAUAGAGCUGAACUGAAGAAAUGAAGACAGUGUCAUUCUGUGAAAUACAGCUUUAUUAGAGAAACUCUUGAUUCAGAAAGCUCAAAAUCCAAUUGCACAGUUUGCUGUCCACAGAAUAUAUACAGUAAACAGAUUUUUAUUAAAAGAUGUAUUGAUGAACUCCACACACGAGCAGGUUUCAGUGUGAACACUGAUUCAGCAUCAGUUCUGAUCACUACAUCAGUGCAGACGCACACAUGCACACAAACACCUUUUAUUCUGACUUCAUUUCUGACUGACAGAUGAACAACAUCAAGUAGUUUAGUGUCAUAUUCCUGCUUGUCAGCUAGUGUUCAUAAUGCAUGUACAUUUAUCAUACUCUUUUUAGCAAAUAAUUACUAUUCACGCUAUUAAAAUGAAAAAUGACAAUUUACUUGCCUUCAUGUUGAUCAAAAGCUGAAUAACUUUCUUUCUUCUGUGGAACAUAAAAGACAAUAUUUUGAGAUUUUUUUUGUCCAUACAAAGUCGUAUAACAAGAAGGCUUUAAAAACAGUAGAAACAUGCAUAAUAAAAGUCUUUUAAUCUUUUCAUUUGAUAUGUGAUCUAUUCUGACUAGAUAUAUACUGCUGUCUUUCUUUCUUUUGUAUUUAUUCUGUACUAUAAUUUCUUCUUUCUGUGUUUAUUUCAAAUGGAGACAGAAAAUGAGAGCAUUGGAGUGAAGAAGAGAGCGUUUCAUUCUUACCUUACCUUAAGAGGGCAAUCUGAGGGUGGGAUCUGUAAUAUAUAUAAUUACUUUAGAACUUAUUAAUUCCAUGGCAAUGCAUCAUGCAGCCACACUGUAUCACUGAUGUAUGUAUCACUUUUAUUUUGUUUUGUUUUUUAUUCAAAAUAUUCACAAAUUUGUAUCAUGAAGUAUAUAUUUGUGAUUGUCAAA